RNAcentral lists this ribosomal RNA (353 nucleotides) under uncultured bacterium. Its description in RNAcentral is "bacterial SSU rRNA". It matches the Rfam family "Bacterial small subunit ribosomal RNA", at positions 135 to 507 of the family's 1533-position model. The record is from RNAcentral.
GGGUGGGAAUAACUAGUCGAAAGAUUAGCUAAUACCGCAUAAUGCAGUUUCUUAGUGGAAUCUAGUUAAAGCAGUAAUGUGCCUAAUGAUGAGCCUGCGUCUGAUUAGCUUGUUGGUAAGUAAUGGCUUACCAAGGCUUCUAUCAGUAGCUGGUCUGAGAGGACGGCCAGCCACAAUGGCACUGAAACACGGGCCAUACUCCUACGGGAGGCAGCAGUGGGGAAUUUUGCGCAAUGAGCGAAAGCUUGACGCAGCAACGCCGCGUGAAGGAUGAAAUCCUUCGGGAUGUAAACUUCGUAAGUAUGGGAAGAAAAAAAUGACGGUACCAUAUGUAAGCCCCGGCUAACUCCGUG